Molecule: long non-coding RNA, 270 nt
Filed under: Neogale vison (American mink)
Lineage: Eukaryota; Metazoa; Chordata; Mammalia; Carnivora; Mustelidae
Description: Neovison vison (American mink) lncRNA (ENSNVIG00000018046.1)
Source: RNAcentral
CAGGAGUCGACGUGUGCAGAAGUCCUGCUAGUCUGGUCCUUGUUCCCGUCUGGGUACCAGAUUUCCUUUAGCAGUGCAGACGGUGGAGCCUGACGCCAGGGAAAAGAGGAGCCAACUUCUCGGAAUUUUGCAGGUCUGCAGGUCUGUCGUUCCGAGCACUACACAAGGCUAGAAAAGGGGAAGAAGAAACCGAUCGGAUCAGUACAGAAGUAAUUGUAUUCAAAGAGGAAUAAAGCAGGAAAAAAGAAAGGAAGAGGAAAGGAAAGAAGG